UGACGCAACGCGGUAGGCGUAGACUUGCAUCUCGGAGCGGCAGCGGGUCCUUCGGGAUGCCGGCGAGCGGCGGACGGGUGAGUAAUGCCUAGGAAUCUGCCUGGUAGUGGGGGAUAACUCGGGGAAACUCGAGCUAAUACCGCAUACGUCCUACGGGAGAAAGCGGGGGAUCUUCGGACCUCGCGCUACCAGAUGAGCCUAGGUCGGAUUAGCUAGUUGGUGAGGUAAAGGCUCACCAAGGCGACGAUCCGUAGCUGGUCUGAGAGGAUGAUCAGCCACACUGGAACUGAGACACGGUCCAGACUCCUACGGGAGGCAGCAGUGGGGAAUAUUGGACAAUGGGCGAAAGCCUGAUCCAGCCAUGCCGCGUGUGUGAAGAAGGUCUUCGGAUUGUAAAGCACUUUAAGUUGGGAGGAAGGGCAGUAAGUUAAUACCUUGCUGUUUUGACGUUACCGACAGAAUAAGCACCGGCUAACUUCGUGCCAGCAGCCGCGGUAAUACGAAGGGUGCAAGCGUUAAUCGGAAUUACUGGGCGUAAAGCGCGCGUAGGUGGUUUGAUAAGUUGGAUGUGAAAGCCCCGGGCUCAACCUGGGAAUUGCAUCCAAAACUGUCUGACUAGAGUAUGGCAGAGGGUGGUGGAAUUUCCUGUGUAGCGGUGAAAUGCGUAGAUAUAGGAAUGAACACCAGUGGCGAAGCGACCACCUGGGCUAAUACUGACACUGAGGUGCGAAAGC
RNAcentral lists this ribosomal RNA (734 nucleotides) under Pseudomonas sp. HPC 1058. RNAcentral describes it as "bacterial SSU rRNA". It matches the Rfam family "Bacterial small subunit ribosomal RNA", at positions 31 to 760 of the family's 1533-position model. The record is from RNAcentral. Lineage: Bacteria; Pseudomonadati; Pseudomonadota; Gammaproteobacteria; Pseudomonadales; Pseudomonadaceae.